CUAAUCGCGAGGUUAGCGCUGAAGGAAGCGUGUAUCAAAAUCUUGACUCGACGAACAGAAAUCUGAUACCAAGGCUUUAGUAGGCGGAUAAGGCUCCAUGUCAAGUCAAAGUCCAAAAGAUGUGCGUAAUCCUACAGAGUAAAUCAGGCGAGUAAAAGAGGAAAGGUAGUUGU
This 173-nucleotide non-coding RNA is filed under the name Tenuibacillus multivorans. Lineage: Bacteria; Bacillati; Bacillota; Bacilli; Caryophanales; Bacillaceae. The record is from RNAcentral.